CUAAGUAUAGGAGAGACACAGACCUGUUGGAGUGUGUCCAGAGAUGGCCUUCAGAGGAGUGGAGUGUCCAGAGAAGUGUCACAAAAACGAACCAACCGAGGAUGGAACACCUUCCUACAACUACAGGCUGAGUGCUAGGGCUGUGCAGCCUGGAGAAGAGAAGGCUCCAAGGAUCACUGUUUCCAAGUCUUAUACAUUUGCAUUUACAGCCACCAUGCACUGCACAUUUUUAUACAAACAAGGACACCCCAUGGAGUCUAUAUGACUUGGAAGAUGAUGAAAGGAGAAGCUCUCUCACAGGAUGUUGGAAAGGAGUGCCUUUGACUUCACAAUUGCUAGGAAAAUGUUGAACACAAGGGCUAAAAAUUCAAAGACUGACUCCACCCCAGUUACUGUUCCUCAUAGUCUCCACAAUAUUGUUGCUGAUGCAUGACAAUGAGUUCACUGGACCUAAUC
Long non-coding RNA from Centrocercus urophasianus (Greater sage-grouse), 456 nucleotides. RefSeq lists it as uncharacterized. The transcript is spliced from 3 exons. The record is from RefSeq and is a predicted model, not a curated record. NCBI's taxonomy places the organism in Eukaryota, Metazoa, Chordata, Aves, Galliformes, Phasianidae.